This 67-nucleotide transfer RNA is filed under the name Rioraja agassizii (Rio skate). RNAcentral describes it as "tRNA-Ser". Lineage: Eukaryota; Metazoa; Chordata; Chondrichthyes; Rajiformes; Arhynchobatidae. RNAcentral also lists the same sequence under 1 other name. The record is from RNAcentral.
AAGAGAGGUACGGAACAAAAAGAAUUGCUAACUCUUUCAUUCAUGGUUCAACUCCAUGGCUCACUUA